Tyto alba (common barn owl) is the source of this 1201-nucleotide long non-coding RNA. RefSeq lists it as uncharacterized. The record is from RefSeq and is a predicted model, not a curated record. Lineage: Eukaryota; Metazoa; Chordata; Aves; Strigiformes; Tytonidae. The transcript has 3 exons.
GGGGCUGGGGGGGAGCAAAACCCCGGUCCCGGGCUGCCAGGGACCGGCUGUGGCUCCUGAGCUGUAGCAAAUGGGGCCAGCACAGCUCUCCCCCGGCCACGGGGGCUGAUUUCCCUGCCGGGAUGGGAAACAAGCCAAGGAAGGUUGUUGGACCAGCCAUCCCCCAGUAACAGCAAGAGGCACUGCCCGAUCCCGGAGGGAUAACUCCAGACUAACACGCGUGCGGCUGCAACCAGCCCGGCCGCCAGAGUGGGGAUACGUGAACCCCCCUCGUUCAAAUAUUGCUAGCACGUCACAGCUCUGCGCUCAGCUUCGGGUCUGGAGGAGAGAAAAUGCUCCAUGUUCUUUAAAAGAUUCCUGCCUUUGAAAGCCAUCCAGAGCGUGUUUUCAGCGAGGUACACCGCAACCCUUGUCUCCAGCUCGUCAGCAGAAACUCUGCCUCAUUCUUCACCAGCUCCAGGAAAGCACUUCCCAGCCUCUCUGCACGUUACCGUUGGCUAAACAGUGGAGCAAAGCCACGUUUGUCUCCCCCCUAAAACAGAGCACCCAACUCAAACGCCUGUUGGCCUUUGCAAUGUGAUGGGGGGGGGGGGGGGGUGUCCACCACACGUUUUUGCCCACUCUGAGUCUUGUUAUCUAUCCAGACUUUGAAUUAGUUCCUAACACCAAGAUUAACACUCAGAGCAGCAUUUCUCCUGUGGUUUAUCAAAAUUUAGGUACCUUGGGGUCCCGAGGGAGAUGAGCAUUCAGGAUCCUCAGAUCAGGAACGGCAAAUCCAUUGUCCCCUUUUCAGCCGUGCGCUGCCGACACUAAAGCAUGAAUGGAGAGCUGGGCCAGGGUCCCUCUGGUGGGAGUGGAAGUUUGGGGCAGGACUGCUGCUUUCCUGCAGUCACCUAAAUCAGUUAAUGUAAUUUUGGAUGCCCCGUUCCUCGCUCUGAGGCACACCACGGGUGAGUCUGGUCCCUGUCGUACUCGACUUUUCAUUUUCUCCCUCCACUCCCUCCAUCAUCUCUUCUGCUCUCCUCUCCUCCCUCUUCCCCGGGCAGGACCCCCAGUCCUGGCCACCUGCCCUCUCACACGUGGGCCACCCUCGACUAGCCCAUCCCCUGGGAAAUGCUGGCAGCGUGUCCCAGGCUGAGCGUGUCACCCGAGCUGAGAGGGGAGGGCUGUUUCCCUCCCAAACCCACCCAGCCUUCCUGGU